Molecule: unclassified non-coding RNA, 390 nt
Filed under: soil metagenome
Description: partial contains 5.8S ribosomal RNA, internal transcribed spacer 2, and large subunit ribosomal RNA
Rfam family: 5.8S ribosomal RNA (bases 1-122)
Source: RNAcentral
GAUGAAGAACGCAGCGAAAUGCGAUACUUGGUGUGAAUUGCAGAAUCCCGUGAACCAUCGAGUCUUUGAACGCAAGUUGCGCCCGAAGCCAUUAGGCCGAGGGCACGCCUGCCUGGGCGUCACACGUCGUUGCCCCCCCAUCUACUCCUUCGGGAUUGCGGGGGGCGGAUGAUGGCCUCCCGUGCGCCUCGUCGCGCGGUUGGCAUAAAUGCCAAGUCCUCGGCGACGCACGCCACGACAAUCGGUGGUUGCGAAACCUCGGUUGCCCGUCGUGUGCGGUCGUCGCGCAUCGAGGGCUCGAAAAAAUUGCCGGGCUUCGGCUCGACUUUCAACGCGACCCCAGGUCAGGCGGGGUUACCCGCUGAAUUUAAGCAUAUCAAUAACGGAGGA